CUCCCUGGGUACGGGCAAAGAGACAUCUUGUAGGUGUGGUGUUCUUGUAUCAGUCAGGGGCAGAGCAGAUGUCAGUCCCUUGUUCAUCCUAGCUUGAUGCCUGGCUUGGUGGCCAAAGCUGUUUUAUACACUGGACUUAUAA
This is a small nucleolar RNA of Acomys russatus (golden spiny mouse), 142 nucleotides long. RefSeq annotates it as small nucleolar RNA SNORA48. The record is from RefSeq and is a predicted model, not a curated record. Lineage: Eukaryota; Metazoa; Chordata; Mammalia; Rodentia; Muridae. The transcript has a single exon.